RNAcentral lists this ribosomal RNA (479 nucleotides) under uncultured bacterium. Its description in RNAcentral is "partial 16S ribosomal RNA". It matches the Rfam family "Bacterial small subunit ribosomal RNA", at positions 31 to 507 of the family's 1533-position model. The record is from RNAcentral.
GAACGCUGGCGGCAUGCCUUACACAUGCAAGUCGAACGGUAACAGGUCUUCGGAUGCUGACGAGUGGCGAACGGGUGAGUAAUACAUCGGAACGUGCCCAGACGUGGGGGAUAUCGAGGCGAAAGCUCUGCUAAUACCGCAUACGAUUUAAGGAUGAAAGCAGGGGACCGCAAGGCCUUGUGCUUUUGGAGCGGCCGAUGGCAGAUUAGGUAGUUGGUGGGAUAAAAGCUUACCAAGCCGACGAUCAGUAGCUGGUCUGAGAGGACGACCAGCCACACUGGAACUGAGACACGGCCCAGACUCCUACGGGAGGCAGCAGUGGGGAAUUUUGGACAAUGGGCGAAAGCCUGAUCCAGCAAUGCCGCGUGGAGGAUGAAGGCCUUCGGGUUGUAAACUGCUUUUGUACGGAACGAAAAGGCUCUGGCUAAUACCUGGGGCACAUGACGGUACCGUAAGAAUAAGCACCGGCUAACUACGUG